RNAcentral lists this ribosomal RNA (388 nucleotides) under uncultured bacterium. RNAcentral describes it as "bacterial SSU rRNA". It matches the Rfam family "Bacterial small subunit ribosomal RNA", at positions 54 to 487 of the family's 1533-position model. The record is from RNAcentral.
CAUGCAAGUCGAACGCAGUAGCAAUACUGAGUGGCAGACGGGUGAGUAUAAUGUGGGAAUCUGCCUUUUGGUUUGGAAUAACUCGGGGAAACCUGAGCUAAUACUGGAUAAGCCCUUACGGGGAAAGCUUUAUGCGCCAAAAGAUGAGCCCGCACUUGAUUAGCUUGUUGGUGAGGUAAAAGCUCACCAAGGCAACGAUCAAUAGCUGUUCUUAGAGGAAGACCAGCCACAUUGGGACUGAGACACGGCCCAGACUCCUACGGGAGGCAGCAGUAAGGAAUCUUGCACAAUGGGGGAAACCCUGAUGCAGCGAUGCCGCGUGAGUGAAGAAGGCCUUUGGGUUGUAAAACUCUUUCGUCGGGGAAGAAAAUGACUGUACCCGAAUAAG